This 466-nucleotide ribosomal RNA is filed under the name uncultured bacterium. RNAcentral's name for it is "partial 16S ribosomal RNA". It matches the Rfam family "Bacterial small subunit ribosomal RNA", at positions 28 to 507 of the family's 1533-position model. The record is from RNAcentral.
GAUGAACGCUGGCGGCGUGCUUAACACAUGCAAGUCGAACGAUGAAGCCCAGCUUGCCGGGUGGAUUAGUGGCGAACGGGUGAGUAACACGUGAGUAACCUGCCCUUAACUCUGGGAUAAGCCUGGGAAACUGGGUCUAAUACCGGAUAGGAGCGUCCACCGCAUGGUGGGUGUUGGAAAGAUUUAUCGGUUUUGGAUGGACUCGCGGCCUAUCAGCUUGUUGGUGAGGUAAUGGCUCACCAAGGCGACGACGGGUAGCCGGCCUGAGAGGGUGACCGGCCACACUGGGACUGAGACACGGCCCAGACUCCUACGGGAGGCAGCAGUGGGGAAUAUUGCACAAUGGGCGCAAGCCCGAUGCAGCGACGCCGCGUGAGGGAUGACGGCCUUCGGGUUGUAAACCUCUUUCAGUAGGGAAGAAGCGAAAGUGACGGUACCUGCAGAAGAAGCACCGGCUAACUACGUG